RNAcentral lists this non-coding RNA (30 nucleotides) under Mus musculus (house mouse). The record is from RNAcentral. Lineage: Eukaryota; Metazoa; Chordata; Mammalia; Rodentia; Muridae.
UGAGUCUAAGGAAAGAUUUCUGGUCUUCUG